UAGACCAAGAUCAGGUGGGCGUGUUAGCGGACGCAUUGCACUGUUUGUCGCAUUUGGCACUGUUGUUGCGCCGGUCGUCCGUCUCUACGCCCGUGCCAGCCUACACACCCUCAGUUCCUGCUGUCAACAAGUCACUCAUAAGAUCUGUAUCCGAACAGGAAGAGAGAGAAAUGCCCUCUGAACGGACACCUAGCGACAACCGCUCAGAUCUUAUUCCAAUAUUUGAA
Long non-coding RNA from Papilio machaon (common yellow swallowtail), 227 nucleotides. RefSeq lists it as uncharacterized. Lineage: Eukaryota; Metazoa; Arthropoda; Insecta; Lepidoptera; Papilionidae. The record is from RefSeq and is a predicted model, not a curated record. The transcript is spliced from 3 exons.